GAUGAACGCUGGCGGCGUGCUUAACACAUGCAAGUCGAACGGAAAGGCCCAAGCUUGCUUGGGUACUCGAGUGGCGAACGGGUGAGUAACACGUGGGUGAUCUGCCCUGCACUUCGGGAUAAGCCUGGGAAACUGGGUCUAAUACCGGAUAGGACCACUUCUUGGAUGUUGUGGUGGAAAGGUUUUUCGGUGUGGGAUGAGCUCGCGGCCUAUCAGCUUGUUGGGGGGGUAAUGGCCUACCAAGGCGUCGACGGGUAGCCGGCCUGAGAGGGUGUACGGCCACAUUGGGACUGAGAUACGGCCCAGACUCCUACGGGAGGCAGCAGUGGGGAAUAUUGCACAAUGGGCGCAAGCCGGAUGCAGCGACGCCGCGUGGGGGAUGACGGCCUUCGGGUUGUAAACUCCUUUCGCUAGGGACGAAGCGUUUUGUGACGGUACCUGGAGAAGAAGCACCGGCUAACUACGUG
RNAcentral lists this ribosomal RNA (467 nucleotides) under uncultured bacterium. RNAcentral describes it as "partial 16S ribosomal RNA". It matches the Rfam family "Bacterial small subunit ribosomal RNA", at positions 28 to 507 of the family's 1533-position model. The record is from RNAcentral.